GAUGAACGCUGGCGGCGUGCCUAAUACAUGCAAGUCGAGCGAACGGACGAGAAGCUUGCUUCUCUGAUGUUAGCGGCGGACGGGUGAGUAACACGUGGAUAACCUACCUAUAAGACUGGGAUAACUUCGGGAAACCGGAGCUAAUACCGGAUAAUAUUUUGAACCGCAUGGUUCAAAAGUAAAAGACGGUCUUGCUGUCACUUAUAGAUGGAUCCGCGCUGCAUUAGCUAGUUGGUAAGGUAACGGCUUACCAAGGCAACGAUGCAUAGCCGACCUGAGAGGGUGAUCGGCCACACUGGAACUGAGACACGGUCCAGACUCCUACGGGAGGCAGCAGUAGGGAAUCUUCCGCAAUGGGCGAAAGCCUGACGGAGCAACGCCGCGUGAGUGAUGAAGGUCUUCGGAUCGUAAAACUCUGUUAUUAGGGAAGAACAUAUGUGUAAGUAACUGUGCACAUCUUGACGGUACCUAAUCAGAAAGCCACGGCUAACUACGUGCCAGCAGCCGCGGUAAUACGUAGGUGGCAAGCGUUAUCCGGAAUUAUUGGGCGUAAAGCGCGCGUAGGCGGUUUUUUAAGUCUGAUGUGAAAGCCCACGGCUCAACCGUGGAGGGUCAUUGGAAACUGGAAAACUUGAGUGCAGAAGAGGAAAGUGGAAUUCCAUGUGUAGCGGUGAAAUGCGCAGAGAUAUGGAGGAACACCAGUGGCGAAGGCGACUUUCUGGUCUGUAACUGACGCUGAUGUGCGAAAGCGUGGGGAUCAAACAGGAUUAGAUACCCUGGUAGUCCACGCCGUAAACGAUGAGUGCUAAGUGCUAGGGGGUUUCCGCCCCUUAGUGCUGCAGCUAACGCAUUAAGCACUCCGCCUGGGGAGUACGACCGCAAGGUUGAAACUCAAAGGAAUUGACGGGGACCCGCACAAGCGGUGGAGCAUGUGGUUUAAUUCGAAGCAACGCGAAGAACCUUACCAAAUCUUGACAUCCUUUGACAACUCUAGAGAUAGAGCCUUCCCCUUCGGGGGACAAAGUGACAGGUGGUGCAUGGUUGUCGUCAGCUCGUGUCGUGAGAUGUUGGGUUAAGUCCCGCAACGAGCGCAACCCUUAAGCUUAGUUGCCAUCAUUAAGUUGGGCACUCUAAGUUGACUGCCGGUGACAAACCGGAGGAAGGUGGGGAUGACGUCAAAUCAUCAUGCCCCUUAUGAUUUGGGCUACACACGUGCUACAAUGGACAAUACAAAGGGCAGCGAAACCGCGAGGUCAAGCAAAUCCCAUAAAGUUGUUCUCAGUUCGGAUUGUAGUCUGCAACUCGACUACAUGAAGCUGGAGUCGCUAGUAAUCGUAGAUCAGCAUGCUACGGUGAAUACGUUCCCGGGUCU
Molecule: ribosomal RNA, 1372 nt
Filed under: uncultured bacterium
Lineage: Bacteria
Description: bacterial SSU rRNA
Rfam family: Bacterial small subunit ribosomal RNA
Source: RNAcentral